RNAcentral lists this ribosomal RNA (463 nucleotides) under uncultured bacterium. Its description in RNAcentral is "partial 16S ribosomal RNA". It matches the Rfam family "Bacterial small subunit ribosomal RNA", at positions 28 to 507 of the family's 1533-position model. The record is from RNAcentral.
GAUGAACGCUGGCAGAAUGCUUAACACAUGCAAGUCUUUGGCGAAGCUGUGCUUGCACAGCCUAGCCAAGGCGGACGGGUGAGUAACGCGUAAGGUACUUGCCCUGCAGUCAGGGAUAACAGACGGAAACGACUGAUAAGACCUGGUAAAGUCAGGCGGACUCAUGUCCAGCCUGAUGAAAAGAGAUGCUGCAGGAGAGCCUUGCGUCCUAUUAGCUUGUUGGUGGGGUAACGGCCCACCAAGGCGAUGAUAGGUAGCCGGCCUGAGAGGGUGGACGGCCACAAGGGGACUGAGAUACGGCCCUUACUCCUACGGGAGGCAGCAGUGGGGAAUAUUGGACAAUGGGGGCAACCCUGAUCCAGCAAUUCUGUGUGCACGAUGAAGGUUUUCGGAUUGUAAAGUGCUUUCAGCAGGGAAGAAAAAAAUGACGGUACCUGCAGAAGAAGCGACGGCUAAAUACGUG